Molecule: ribosomal RNA, 252 nt
Filed under: Triticum aestivum (bread wheat)
Lineage: Eukaryota; Viridiplantae; Streptophyta; Magnoliopsida; Poales; Poaceae
Description: partial small subunit ribosomal RNA
Source: RNAcentral
AUGAUUUUUUUGUUAAUUUCUAAUGCUUUAUUUCAGAGAACCAAAUCUGCACCAUGCCGCCUCACCCUCUUAGGUUAUUGUUUCACCCCUUUUGAUAGUUUGUUAGGUUUGUCCUUGUCCUUCUUCCCUAAGCGCUGCAAUUUUCUACCCUAUUUGUUUACUGCUUAUUAUCGUGUUAAUUCCUUUGUAUUCCUGGUUUUUCCGGGUGCCGUGUUUGUGUGUUUGUUUUUGUGGUGCUGCUUAUACGUGUGA